RNAcentral lists this ribosomal RNA (474 nucleotides) under uncultured bacterium. Its description in RNAcentral is "bacterial SSU rRNA". It matches the Rfam family "Bacterial small subunit ribosomal RNA", at positions 335 to 802 of the family's 1533-position model. The record is from RNAcentral.
ACUCCUACGGGAGGCAGCAGUAAGGAAUAUUGGACAAUGGGCGAAAGCCUGAUCCAGCCAUCCCGCGUGCAGGAUGACCGGCCCUAUGGGGUUGUAAACUGCUUUUGUUUGAGAAGAAACGCCUGGUAUUAUCCGGGCCUGACGGUAUCUUACGAAUAAGCACCGGCUAACUCCGUGCCAGCAGCCGCGGUAAUACGGAGGGUGCAAGCGUUAUCCGGAAUCACUGGGUUUAAAGGGUGAGCAGGCGGAUAAAUAAGUCAGAGGUGAAAUCUUGCAGCUUAAACUGUAAAACUGCCUUUGAUACUGUUUAUCUUUGAAUUAGGUUGAGGUCAGCGGAAUGUGACAUGUAGCGGUGAAAUGCGGAGAUAUGUCAUAGAACACCAAUUGCGAAGGCAGCUGACUGGGCCUUAAAGUUGACGCUGAGUCACGAAAGCGUGGGAGCGAACAGGAUUAGAUACCCCUGGUAGACUGUCA